RNAcentral lists this ribosomal RNA (222 nucleotides) under uncultured bacterium. RNAcentral's name for it is "partial 16S ribosomal RNA". It matches the Rfam family "Bacterial small subunit ribosomal RNA", at positions 15 to 219 of the family's 1533-position model. The record is from RNAcentral.
CAUCAUGGCUCAGGAUGAACGCUGGCGGCGUGCUUAACACAUGCAAGUCGAACGAAGCACCUUGAUUUGAUUCUUCGGAUGAAGAUCCUGGUGACUGAGUGGCGGACGGGUGAGUAACGCGUGGGUAACCUGCCUCAUACAGGGGGAUAACAGUUAGAAAUGACUGCUAAUACCGCAUAAGACCACAGCACCGCAUGGUGCAGGGGUAAAAACUCCGGUGGU